UCACAGCAGCUCUUCCUCAUCUAUAAUAAACAUCCUGUUUGGACUUCUUUGAUGUUCUGUCUGUCUGUCUGCGUGUUAGGGCUCUGCAGUGUGAAUGAUGGCUGUGUAUCUGAUGAGGAGGGGGUAAUUAAAAACCCGGCUGUUCCUGGUAAUCGCUAUGAAAACAAUCAGUGAGUGCAAACAUGUUUCAACGUAACUUUUCUGCCUGGACUUCCCAACUAUAAGUUGUGGAUAUGAAGCAGUUUCUUUAUCUUUCUUUAGGUUGUGUUCAUGGCAUCUCACCACACCUCCAGGUUUCAGAAUUGAUUUAGAGUUUGGGAGUUUUGAUCUGGAGAACGACUCACAUUGUCACCAUGAUCGACUCACGGUGUUCGUAGGAACCCGAAAGCCAGUUGCCAUACUUUGUGGCAGUUCGGUCCUCAGCCCGGUGUUACUGAACAAUUCCCAGAAUGCAGAGCUCCUCUUCUCCUCUGACAUUAGCAGGGCAGGAAGUGGUUUUGUAAUUAGGCAUCACGCUGUCAGGGGACACUUUCAUCCUGUCAGGAUGUGGGGCAGUCAUCCUGGUGAAGGAUCAGUCUUCUAUCCACACCCCAAAUUACCCACAACCCUACAGCAAUGCCUGUGUCAUCCAUGCGCCACAGCAACAUGUGGUGAAGCUGGACUUUGCUGACUUUGAUGUGGAGGAGUCAAAGACGUGUGGAUAUGAUUCCCUCACUGUCAUGGGAGAUGUUGGAGGAACUGAGGAAAUUGCUGUGUUGUGUGGCUCCAGUGUCCCCCCUCCUGUCCUCUCCUAUCAUGACGUCAUGGUGCUUCACUUCCUGUCAGACAGCAUCACCUAACACAGAGGCUUCAGGGCAGUGCUGACAUUCAUCAGCAUCACAGAUCUGCAGGAUGGAGACACAACAGAGGGCUCAGCCUGAUUCUGUGCCAGCUAACCAUUGACACCCUGCAACACUGCACGGUUGAGCUUUGUUUAGUGAACUCUAUGACAAAGUGUUGUUUCAGAUCUAGUCACAGAGGGAAGGCAAUGACGAUAGAGUGGCAUCUGUUGAGCCAGUGGGACAUUUAACACUGAGGUGACAACUCAAACACCAGAGAAUUAUCAGAAAAAAGAUCAAAUAAAAACACACCAUUUCCUCCA
Molecule: long non-coding RNA, 1141 nt
Filed under: Gouania willdenowi (blunt-snouted clingfish)
Lineage: Eukaryota; Metazoa; Chordata; Actinopteri; Blenniiformes; Gobiesocidae
Description: lncRNA (ENSGWIG00000011139.1)
Source: RNAcentral